RNAcentral lists this ribosomal RNA (825 nucleotides) under uncultured Blastococcus sp. RNAcentral describes it as "bacterial SSU rRNA". It matches the Rfam family "Bacterial small subunit ribosomal RNA", at positions 543 to 1367 of the family's 1533-position model. Lineage: Bacteria; Bacillati; Actinomycetota; Actinomycetes; Geodermatophilales; Geodermatophilaceae. The record is from RNAcentral.
GUCCGGAAUUAUUGGGCGUAAAGAGCUCGUAGGCGGUUUGUUGCGUCGGCUGUGAAAACCUGAGGCUCAACCUCAGGCCUGCAGUCGAUACGAGCAGACUAGAGUGUUGCAGGGGAGACUGGAAUUCCUGGUGUAGCGGUGAAAUGCGCAGAUAUCAGGAGGAACACCGGUGGCGAAGGCGGGUCUCUGGGCAACAACUGACGCUGAGGAGCGAAAGCGUGGGGAGCGAACAGGAUUAGAUACCCUGGUAGUCCACGCCGUAAACGUUGGGCGCUAGGUGUGGGGCUCAUUCCACGAGUUCCGUGCCGCAGCUAACGCAUUAAGCGCCCCGCCUGGGGAGUACGGCCGCAAGGCUAAAACUCAAAGGAAUUGACGGGGGCCCGCACAAGCGGCGGAGCAUGUUGCUUAAUUCGAUGCAACGCGAAGAACCUUACCUAGGCUUGACAUGCACGGAAAUCCUCCAGAGAUGGUGGGUCCGCAAGGGUCGUGCACAGGUGGUGCAUGGUUGUCGUCAGCUCGUGUCGUGAGAUGUUGGGUUAAGUCCCGCAACGAGCGCAACCCUCGUUCUAUGUUGCCAGCACGUAAUGGUGGGGACUCAUAGGAGACUGCCGGGGUCAACUCGGAGGAAGGUGGGGAUGACGUCAAAUCAUCAUGCCCCUUAUGUCUAGGGCUGCAAACAUGCUACAAUGGCCGGUACAAAGGGCUGCGAUACCGCGAGGUGGAGCGAAUCCCAAAAAGCCGGUCUCAGUUCGGAUUGGGGUCUGCAACUCGACCCCAUGAAGUUGGAGUCGCUAGUAAUCGCAGAUCAGCAACGCUGCGGUGAAU